RNAcentral lists this long non-coding RNA (366 nucleotides) under Physcomitrium patens. RNAcentral's name for it is "long non-coding RNA (PPAT_LNC007471)". The record is from RNAcentral. Lineage: Eukaryota; Viridiplantae; Streptophyta; Bryopsida; Funariales; Funariaceae.
UUAGGAUUUAGGAUUUGGUUUAGGAUUUGAUAAGGGUUUGGUUUAAGAUUUAUUUAGGGUUUGGUUUAGGGUUUAGGAUUUGGUUUAGGAUUUAGAGUUUGAUUUAGGAUUUAGGAUUUUAUUAGGAUUUAAAAUUCAAUUAGUUUUGGCCUAAAUUUUGAAUGAAGUUCAAUAGGAUUUUAACUAGAAUUAAAUUAAGAUUGAAUUGAGAUGUAUUUGAGUGAUAUUUGUGAUCAUUCUAAUAUUUCUUUAAGAUUUCUUAUUUUUUGUUUGAAAUUUCUUUGAGGUUUUUUUGAAUUUGAUUAAAGCUUACUUAGCAUUAUUAUGUUCUAAUUAGAGCAUUGUUAGUAUUCUAUUAGAAUUAGG